RNAcentral lists this ribosomal RNA (468 nucleotides) under uncultured bacterium. RNAcentral describes it as "partial 16S ribosomal RNA". It matches the Rfam family "Bacterial small subunit ribosomal RNA", at positions 28 to 523 of the family's 1533-position model. The record is from RNAcentral.
GAUGAACGCUGGCGGCGUGCCUAACACAUGCAAGUCGAGCGAUUCUCUUCGGAGGAGAGCGGCGGACGGGUGAGUAACGCGUGGGUAACCUGCCCUGUACACACGGAUAACAUACCGAAAGGUAUGCUAAUACGGGAUAACAUAAGAAAUUCGCAUGUUUUUCUUAUCAAAGCUCCGGCGGUACAGGAUGGACCCGCGUCUGAUUAGCUAGUUGGUGAGGUAACGGCUCACCAAGGCGACGAUCAGUAGCCGACCUGAGAGGGUGAUCGGCCACAUUGGAACUGAGACACGGUCCAAACUCCUACGGGAGGCAGCAGUGGGGAAUAUUGCGCAAUGGGCGAAAGCCUGAUGCAGCAACGCCGUGUGAGCGAUGAAGGCCUUCGGGUCGUAAAGCUCUGUCCUCAAGGAAGAUAAUGACGGUACUUGAGGAGGAAGCCCCGGCUAACUACGUGCCAGCAGCCGCCGCGG